Molecule: long non-coding RNA, 713 nt
Filed under: Linum usitatissimum (flax)
Lineage: Eukaryota; Viridiplantae; Streptophyta; Magnoliopsida; Malpighiales; Linaceae
Description: long non-coding RNA (LUSI_LNC007936)
Source: RNAcentral
CUGUGAUUGUUUUCAGGUAGGCCAAGUCCGGAUCUUUCUCUAAUUCCACAUAUUCAGGAGUACCUAGCUCCGGCAUGAAACGCCGGCUGAUGGUGGGACGGUUUGGGAGGUAUCCAGCGUAAGGGUAUUGCCCGAAAUUCACUGCUGCGUGGAGCGCUGAAGCUACCCAUAUGAUGAUGGUGCAUGAUUGUGUGAGGUCUUGGAAAUUUUGCAUCUCUGGCCACCAUGGUUCGUCUUUCUUAUCUCCAUGGCCUUCGUUUCUCAAUUCUGACCACCAGGAUUGGAGUUCCUCGUCGUUCUGGAUCAACUCAUCUGUAGGGUAGUAGAAACUGCAGUACUCCUGCACCCAUGUUUCGAUUGCUGACCAAAUUUCUAGUCCAUCGUUGGCGUAAGGGUAGUCCUCUAUCAGAAGUUUGAGCCCAUGUGGCUUGGUUUGAUCUGGUACUGCUACUCCUCUGAAAGUUUGAUACAGUCUUCUAAAUCAGAAAUCUGGAUACAAGACCUUGAUAAUAAUACCAGUUGAAGAUUUUUCAUGGUUUUUCUUACCUCUUUAUCAGGUCGGCAGGGAGUCCUUGUUCAGUGAAUAUCCAGUUUUUGUACACAACAGCUGACAUUUCCAUGGCGUAUCUUGCUGGGAAGACUGUCAUCUCUAGUAUACCACCAGCAUUGAUAAGGAUCUGUCUGGCAAAUGCAUUUAUAUUCAUUGUGUCGCG